UUUAUACUGCCUCCGUCCCAAAAUUCUUGUCUUAAAUUUGUAUAAAUAUGGAUGUAUCUAGUUACAUUUUAGUGUUAGAUACAUCCGUAUCUAAACAAAUGUAAGACAAGAAUUUUGGGAUGGAGGGAAUACUAC
Molecule: non-coding RNA, 135 nt
Organism: Triticum aestivum (bread wheat)
Lineage: Eukaryota; Viridiplantae; Streptophyta; Magnoliopsida; Poales; Poaceae
Source: Rfam